GCCUGGCUCCCCAGUGGGUGGGCCUGGCUCCCCAGUGGGUGGGUCUGGCUCCCCAGUGGGUGGGUCUGGCUCCCCAGUGGGUGGGCCUGGCUGCCCAGUGGGUGGGCCUGGCUGCCCAGUGGGUGGGCCUGGCUCCCCAGUGGGUGGGCCUGGCUCCCCAGUGGGUGGGCCUGGCUCCCCAGUGGGUGGGCCUAUGUCCUCCAAGACCCACCCAUGUAUUUCAGUUAACUGAUUUCAUUUUAUGAACUGUAACUCAGUAAAAACUUUGAAAUUGUUGCAUAUUUUUUCAUUAUAUAUAAACAUAUAUUGUUAUGUUACACUUAACCCUCCUGCUGUGUUCCGGUCGAAUUGGACCAAUUUACAAGUUUUCUCUCUGAAAAAUGUAGAUAAUUUAAUCUGAUUGUCAUCUGAACACACAAUACAUUUGGAUGAUUUUCAUUAAACUUUGGGUGUUUUAUUUAACUUUUGUACACCUGUGGUGUUCCCAGUCAAAAAUGACCAGUCAUUAAUAGGUGAGACUACAAUAAGUGUAUAAAAUUAAGUUCAGGCACAUUCACCAGAUGGACACACUUCCUCUCCCAGACCCCCACAUGCAUGUGUGUUUGAACACACACACACACACACACACACACACACACACACACACACACACACACACACACACACACACACACACACACACACACACACACACACACACACACACACACACCUCACUCCCCUUCUUGGCUUCCAUGGCAACCCCCACAGCAACCUUUCGCCAAUAGAAUAUUUCCCCCACAGGGACCACACCUGUUGACGUUCUCACAAACAAGCGCAAAAUUGUUUCAAUAAUACAUAGAACUUUUCUGGCAGCUCUGGUAUAUAAAGCUUUUUUGAGGCCUUGCUCACAAUUCAUUCUGUAGCAGCACAAUGACCAAACGAUAAACUAUAUGAGAGGCUCUUGAUCAUAUCUUUGAUCAUGACACUGGUGAGGAGGGAGAGAGGCCAGAAAACUGACAGUGAAGAUGCAUUAGAGGAGGAAGUGUCAGAAGUUGAAGACAACACAGAAUAUGAUCCAGACCCCGAGACAUCCGAUGUGGAACAUUCCAGUGAUGAGGAAGAGGGCCCUGCUGAGGUUGUUGUUACAUUCCAGUGAUGAGGAAGAGGGCCCUGCUGAGGUUGUUGUUAGAAUCCAGUGAUGAGGAAGAGGACCCUGCUGAGGUUGAUGUUAUAAUCCAGUGAUGAGGAAGAGGGCCCUGCUGAGGUUGUUGUUACAUUCCAGUGAUGAGGAAGAGGGCCCUGCUGAGGUUGUUGUUAGAAUCCAGUGAUGAGGAAGAGGACCCUGCUGAGGUUGUUGUUAGAAUCCAGUGAUGAGGAAGAGGACCCUGCUGAGGUUGUUGUUAUAAUCCAGUGAUGAGGAAGAGGACCCUGCUGAGGUUGUUGUUAUAAUCCAGUGAUGAGGAAGAGGGCCCUGCUGAGGUUGUUGUUAGAAUCCAGUGAUGAGGAAGAGGGCCCUGCUGAGGUUGUUGUUAGAAUCCAGUGAUGAGGAAGAGGGCCCUGCUGAGGUCGUUGUUACAUUCCGGUCAAAGAAUGGGAAUUUGUCCUGGUCUUCAUCCCCACCUGAGAAGAGAGGUCGGCUGACUCGGCUGAAUGUUAUCAGGAUAACCCCAGGGCCAACGAGAUAUGUCAUAUCCCUGACAUAAAAUCCUGCCACUAUUUAAACAUUUGAAAUAGUUUCAAAACAAAUGUCCUUUUUAAACUUUUUUUAGUCUGUGAUAAAUAGCACAAUAUGUUUUAUCUGAGUAUUUGUUAUAGUCAAAAAUAAUCCAUACAUUAUGCUUUUUUUAAAACUAAAAAACGAGUUGUUUGAGCUCAGGUCAAUGAGGCCUACAGGCCAUAAAUAGUUGUAUGAGCUCAGGUCAAUGAGGCCUACAGGACAUAAAUACAUAGAAGUUCAAAACAUGUAAUGUUCACAAGAACUUAAGUUAAUAAAUAGAUCUAAACAACAUUAAGUGAUAAUAUAUGUAUUAUUAUGGAUUUAUAAUCAGCUGUAACGGGGCAGUCAUUUUGGACCAAUUAACAUGAAACGAACACAACAGGAGGGUUAAGUGGCUUGCUUGGCAUUGAGCAGUAAACAAAAAAAAGUAUAACAUUCAUGAUGGUGAAGUUUACGGAGAAAACAAUGUUAGUAAUGGGUAUGAUGGAUGCUGCAGCGGGACUAAGCAGGUUCGCUGGUUGAGUAACCUGCUGGGCCGGUCAGGGAGACCAGGGGGAGACUGCGUUUCCUGCUGUCACGUGAAAGACUGACAAGCGUUGUUGAGUGGUUCUGACCCCAUGACAUGCCCAUACAUGAAAAUCUACUCAAUAUUUACCACUGCAUCAUGUUGCGUUUCUGGAAACACUUUCAACUGAAAAUGGGAUAACUGAAUCAACUAUUUUAUUUUAUUUAGAUUACGCCAAAUGCAUUCGAAUGUAAAACGUUUAGUUCUAUAGACUUGUAGCCGCAAUGAUCUGAAUGAAAAUUGCAAUGAAAAUGUACAUUUCAUGGCCCAAAACUAUUAUAUUUUAAUCUAACGUCAGUGUAAUAAACAACAAAUAGGGCUGGAAAUUAGUGAAAGGGCCUUGUCGUAUACACCACGUUAAUUGAGACAUAUUUUACAUAACCUGGAGAUAUGUUGAGGUGCGCUCGACGCAUCAGCUGUGUCGCAUAGAAAAUACUGAAGUAAAUACAAGGAAAAUGUCAUUAACAUCUCUAAGAAAAAUGAACAGCUGACCACAUGAUAUUCUCCGUAAUGUGGGCCUAUGAGCUUUGGGAAAUUUCGUGACCACCACCGAACUAAAUUUUACAACAUAAACUCAACUUUUUGAUGACACCUUCCCAGUGGGUGUUUUGCCUAGAUGAGGUUUGCACCCGUAGCGCGAAA
Molecule: long non-coding RNA, 2906 nt
Organism: Oncorhynchus tshawytscha (Chinook salmon)
Lineage: Eukaryota; Metazoa; Chordata; Actinopteri; Salmoniformes; Salmonidae
Source: Ensembl